Molecule: ribosomal RNA, 2053 nt
Filed under: human gut metagenome
Description: bacterial LSU rRNA
Rfam family: Bacterial large subunit ribosomal RNA
Source: RNAcentral
GGUGUGGAUAGGGGAGAAAUUCCAAUCGAACCCGGAGAUAGCUGGUUCUCCUCGAAAUAGCUUUAGGGCUAGCCUCAUGGAUCAUUGAUGGGGGUAGAGCACUGAAUGUGCGCGGGGGCCACAAAGCCUACCAAACGCUAUCAAACUACGAAUACCAUACAAUGCAGACCAUGGGAGUCAGUCCGCGAGAGAUAAGUUCCGCGGGCAAAAGGGGAACACCCCAGAUCAACCGCUAAGGUCCCCAAGUUCACGUUAAGUGGAGAAGGAUGUGGAAUUGCACAGACAACCAGGAUGUUGGCUCAGAAGCAGCCACACAUUUAAAGAGUGCGUAAUAGCUCACUGGUCGAGUGAUUGUGCGCCGAAGAUGUCCGGGGCUAAACGUGACACCGAAGCGAUGGGUGCAUCUGAAAGGAUGCGCGGUAGAGGAGCAAUGUGCAGAGGCAGAAGCCGUAUCGAGAGGCACGGUGGACACUGCACAAGAGAGAAUGCCGGUAUGAGUAGCGAGAGGCAUGCGAGAAACAUGCCCGUCGAAAGCCCAAGGUUUCCUGGGGAAGGUUCAUCCGCCCAGGGUAAGUCGGGGCCUAAGCCGAGGACGGAAGUCGUAGGCGAUGGACAGCAGGUGUAGAUUCCUGCACUACCGAUGGAAUGAAGCAGUGACACAGAAGGAUAACUCGAGCAGGGUGAUGGUCAACCCUGUGCAAGCAUCAAGGUUGGGUUGUAGUGAAGUACGCAAUCCUAUAAGCUGAGGUGUGAUGCGGACCGAAAUUUCAGUAGGGAAGCGAGUGAGUUCACGCUGGCGAGAAAAGCUGCUAGUACAUCCAAAGGUACCCGUACCGGAAACCGACGCAGGUGGGCGAGGAGAGAAUCCUGAGACGAACGGGAGAACCCUUGUUAAGGAACUCGGCAAAAUGACCCCGUAACUUCGGGAUAAGGGGUGCCUGCGAGAGCAGGCCGCAGAGAAUAGUCACAAGCGACUGUUUAGCAAAAACACAGGUAUCUGCGAAAGCGAGAGCUGACGUAUAGGUGCUGACACCUGCCCGGUGCUGGAAGGUUAAGGGAACAUGUUAGAGCAAUCGAAGCAUCGAACCGAAGCCCCAGUAAACGGCGGCCGUAACUAUAACGGUCCUAAGGUAGCGAAAUUCCUUGUCGGGUAAGUUCCGACCCGCACGAAUGGUGUAACGACUUGUGAGCUGUCUCAACAGGGGGCCCGGUGAAAUUGAAGUAUGGGUGAAGAUGCCCAUUACCCGCGACUGGACGGAGAGACCCCGUAGAGCUUUACUGCAGCCUGAUAUUGAGUUUCGGUAACUGAUGCACAGGAUAGGUGGGAGUCUGAGAGACACGGGUUUCGGCUCGUGAGGAGACGCUGUUGGGAUACCACUCUUCGGUUACUGAAAUUCUAACAUAGCUCUGUGAAACCAGAGGAUGGACAGUGUCAGGUGGACAGUUUGACUGGGGCGGUCGCCUCCGAAAGAGUAACGGAGGCGCCCAAAGGUACCCUCAGAAUGGAUGGAAACCAUUCGAAGAGCGCAAAGGCAGAAGGGUGCCUGACUGCGAGAUUGACAAAUCGAGCAGAGACGAAAGUCGGGCUUAGUGAUCCGGCGGUAUUGAGUGGAAAAGCCGUCGCUUAACGGAUAAAAGCUACCUCGGGGAUAACAGGCUGAUCUCCCCCAAGAGUCCACAUCGACGGGGAGGUUUGGCACCUCGAUGUCGGCUCAUCGCAUCCUGGGGCUGUAUUCGGUCCCAAGGGUUUGGCUGUUCGCCAAUUAAAGCGGCACGCGAGCUGGGUUCAGAACGUCGUGAGACAGUUCGGUCCCUAUCCAUCGUGGGCGUAGGAGUCAUGAGAGGAGCUGUUCCUAGUACGAGAGGACCGGAAUGGACGCACCACUGGUGCAACUGUUGUCGUGCCAACGGCAUAGCAGGGAAGCGAAGUGCGGACGGGAUAAACGCUGAAGGCAUCUAAGCGUGAAGCCCACCUCAAGAAUAAGACUCCACAAUAGACCCCUGGAGGACUACCAGGUAGAUAGGUCAUCGGUGGAAGCGCUGUAAGGCGUGU